UACGGGGGGGGCAAGCGUUGUUCGGAAUUACUGGGCGUAAAGGGCUCGUAGGCGGCCAACUAAGUCGGACGUGAAAUCCCCAGGCUCAACCUGGGAACUGCGUCCGAUACUGGAUGGCUUGAAUCCGGGAGAGGGAUGCAGAAUUCCAGGUGUAGCGGUGAAAUGCGUAGAUAUCUGGAGGAAUACCGGUGGCGAAGGCGGCCUGCUGGGCUAUGGCUGACACUGAGGCGCGACAGCGUGGGGAGCAAACAGG
This 253-nucleotide ribosomal RNA is filed under the name uncultured bacterium. Its description in RNAcentral is "partial 16S ribosomal RNA". It matches the Rfam family "Bacterial small subunit ribosomal RNA", at positions 524 to 776 of the family's 1533-position model. The record is from RNAcentral.